RNAcentral lists this ribosomal RNA (439 nucleotides) under uncultured bacterium. RNAcentral's name for it is "partial 16S ribosomal RNA". It matches the Rfam family "Bacterial small subunit ribosomal RNA", at positions 339 to 795 of the family's 1533-position model. The record is from RNAcentral.
CUACGGGUUGCUGCAGUGAGGAAUAUUGCACAAUGGGGGGAACCCUGAUGCAGCAACGCCGCGUGGAGGAUGACGCAUUUCGGUGUGUAAACUCCUUUUAUAUGUCAAGAAAAUGACGGUAGCAUAUGAAUAAGCACCGGCUAACUCCGUGCCAGCAGCCGCGGUAAUACGGAGGGUGCAAGCGUUACUCGGAAUCACUGGGCGUAAAGGACGCGUAGGCGGGUUGGAAAGUCAGGUGUGAAAUCCUACAGCUUAACUGUAGAACUGCACUUGAAACUUCUAAGCUAGAGUAUGGGAGGGGGAGAUGGAACUAGUGGUGUAGGGGUAAAAUCCGUAGAUAUCACUAGGAAUACCUAAAGCGAAGGCGAUCUCCUGGAACAUUACUGACGCUAAGGCGUGAAAGCGUGGGGAGCAAACAGGAUUAGAUACCCGAGUAGUC